UACAGGAAGAUGUGUUUAUUGUGGCAAAUGUUCACCUGACUACCAGCAUCCAUAUGGAUUGGUUUAAACGUAUAUAUGAAUAUGGUCUUCAAAUCUCAAAGACCCUGAUCUGCACAGAAGGGUGGACUAAACUUGUCAUGAAUGUGCUUAUUCUGACCUGAAGCAGUGAUGAAGAGGUAAUCACAAGACCUCCUUUAGGAUCAUGGGUUGAAGGAUUUUCCUGCCAGAAUCCACGUUACGGAUGGGCUGAUCUCUGGUUUCUUACCCUGUUUUCUCACCUAAAGAAUUAUAAUGAGGUAGAGUGAAUGAGAUCUAUGGGGAAAGCAGUGGACCUAGAGACUAAAGUUCCCAUAAUGACUUUAAUCAUAUAGUCUGGCAAUGGAGCAGGUUACUGAAAGGCAACAAACUCACUGGUCAAUGUCGGUGUCACUUUUCUGGGAGCAGGACUUUUUGAGCAUCAAGGAGCUAAUUCUAUCAGCCUGCUGGAAAAGCGUUAAGUGCAUUAACUCCUUGUCAAUCACAUUUUUAGCAUGCUGGCCAAAUUAUUAUUAUUUGGCACAAGACAUUCUACUGAAUCUUAUUUGUAUGGUAUCCUUAUCUGUGUACCUUAUAUGACUAAUGACGAUUGUUUAUGGAGAGAUGCCUGUCCAAUUAUUUUUGAAGGAACACAAGAAUGCAGAAUGACUGGAAGCAUCAGGUUUUUGCCAGAGAAUGCCUCAGGUUUUUUGCAGGUGAUACUCCACUAAGUCCUGUGAAAGGAGAAUUAAGCGAAAUAAUUCCUCAAAAUGCAACAAAAGAGAAGCAGCUUAAUGUGAUAUGAAAAGCCUGAGGGUGAUUGCAAACAAAAGCCAACAGUGUCCAGGAUGCUGAAUAUAACAAAAGACAAGGUUCCUGCCACAAGAGAUUAUUAUCUAAACAGUCAAGACAAACAACAGACAAAGCAGACAGCAGCAUAUGACUGUGACCAAAUUCACCACUGUAUUCACACCCUAUGGACUACUGUAAUAAUCUUUGAACAAUAUAUGCCAUGUGAGGUAUCAUUUGAAAACUAAUAACUCACCGGUCAAUAAUAUCAUGGUGAAAUGUGUGUAGCAAGAUUAUAUGUAACUGAAAUGUGCUUACCAGAUAAGUCUGGAGAGGGGGUAAAGACAAUGGACAAGCUAAUGCAUCUAGCCAGAUGACAAAGUUGAUUGGCACUCACUUGUCAAGUGGCCAUUCUUUGGCAAUGAAAGUGGGGCAGGAACAGAUCCAUCUGCAUUUUAGCAAAUAACAACGUGGAACUUCUUUCACCAUGAGACUCCAUGUCUCUGUCCUCAAAGUGGGAAUGAACUUUGUCUAGGGGUAACUCUCAGAAAAAUGCAUUUCAAAGGGUGACUGGACUAUAAAAGUGAGGGGCAAAUACACCCUAGGUGUUCUCUCUUUCACUCAAGAGGACAAAGGAAUCAGCCUUAUGACUUUGGGAGAAAAUCCUGGCCAGAGAAUUUGGUCAGCCUUGUUGCUGGGCACAUGUGAUAAGGAUUUUACCUUGAACCAGUUUUUAGUUACUAGAAAGCAUUUUAUCUUUAUUUCUCUUGUAACCAUUUCUGACUUCAGACCCUUGUACUCUUACUCACUUAAAAUCUCUCUUUGUAGUCAAAUAAACAUUUUUAUUUUUUUAAUCAAAAAUAAUCCAAUGUUGUUUUUAAACUGAAUUGUUUGGUAAUUCCAAUUAAAGUGGCAAACUGUUCUAUCUUGACCCCUUGCAGGGGCAACAGACUUCUAAUAUCUGAACUGUCCAGGAGAGGGCUGGAACAAACAUUUUGGGGAAAUUUAGAGGUUGGGAGUGUGUUGGAGUCACCAUGUAAGUGGUACCCAAGGCUGGUAGAAGCCAGAGUGUGACUGAAGUGUAGCUGGCAGGCUGAAGCUACAAACAGACACUCAGGGAGUGACCUGCAUGCUGUUUGUGAGGGGCCAGAUUGCAGGGCAGAUGGUGACCCAACCACCUCACUGGUCUGGAUUGCACCCCAUUAUGUGACAAUAUGUGUUUGUGUGUGUCACUCAGCAUUAAUGUUCCCUUUACAUUUUUUGUGAAUAGAACCAUAAGUGGUGUGUGAAGGCACUCUUGAAACCUUCAGGCAAUUUAUUGCUCUAAAAUCCACAAGCACCAUUCCUUUGAACAGCAAUAGGAGUUCUAUUAUGGAUUAAGGACAAUAUGUAUCCAUAAAUGUAAAAUGUACAUGCCCUCAAAACACUCUCAUGCCCUCCUGACUGCUAAAAUUAAAUCAUCACCAAUAAGGAGCUGAAACUCCCUGCCUUUUUUUCUGGCGUAUGGAUGGUGAGAUUCUGUGCAUUAAAAAAGGUAACCAUUUAUAUCACUGUUGUUACCACUGUUACAAAAUUACCAUAAAUCUCGUACAAAGUGUCAUCUUCUUAGUGUACACGCAACAUGCCUCCCAUGGCACAUGACCAGGAUACAUAAUCGAAUUUGGUCCACUUUUUGGAUCAUUAGCUUCCCCAGCCUGGGCUGGGAACUGACAGGGAGCAUGAUAUGAAUGCUGAUCCAUGCCCCACAAAAUGUGUCAUGUAAGGUAUUGAUGGAAAAGUGAUGAAUUGCUAAGUAUGAUUAUCUUGUGUAUAUGUAUGUAUCAUCUUUGUAUCUGAAGUGAUGAGUAUUGGCUAUGGACUUGUAGCUUAAGCAUGUGUUGAAUUCCUGGGUGACACCCCCCAGACAGACAGUGAUGUGUUGAUGGCCCAGUAGGACACUCCACUCUCAUAAUGGGCCACUGAAAAAUCUUAUCCCAUGCAGUAGGUCUUCCUACAGAUACUUCAGACAGCAAGGAGCCAAUGGCUACUCCCCGUGAUUCAGCAAAACAUGUAAGGACAUGUGAUAUGCUCAUGUGACCCUGAACUCCAUCUUGGGCCAGCAACUUUCCAAACACAGGUGAUGUGAGCUUUAUUUGGGACAGUAAAUUUCCAGGCACAUGGCAGAGGAUAUAAAAGUCAUCUGAGAUGCCUUCAUUUUGCCUCUUUCCUGCUCUAAUUCUCUGGACUGUGGAUUUACAACUGAAAGGAGUAUCUUGAACUCUGACUGAGGACCUUCCAAUUUUUUGGAAGUUAUCAGAGCGACUUUGCAAGCCAGCAGUGUAUUCAAUCACUCCUACAAAGCUGAUAUAAGGACUUUGCAGGCAUUUGUAUGUAUAUGAUCUAUUAACUAUUUGUAACUCUCUUCUUUUAUUAAUAAGUCUUUAGUUAGUUACUGAAGAUUGGCUGACAGCAUGAUAUUUGGAUAAGAUCUGAGAUACAUAUUGAACUGGGAUAAGUGUCUGAUCCUUUGGCAUUAGAAAUAACGCCACACAUGGUGUGCCUGCUCUGUUUCCUGCAGUCUUCUCUGAGUGUGGCAUUCUCGGUGUGGUCCAUCCCAGGUAUCUAGUCACAGAUGGAUGCAUUUGUUUUUCCUGUUUGUCCCGCAUAUUUGGUGACACGGUCAUGCUCUCCAGUUUCUCAUGCUCUCUCUUCCUUCAUUUUCUGCUGUGGAGAAGGAAGCCUUAUCCUUAGAGAAGGGGCCAAAGACAGGUGGUUGGGCGAAGGGGCUGCUGCAGCCCUUAGGAAAACCUGCAUUUAUGAGGGAGCUUAUCUUUCUCCCAGAAAGGGAAGAAGGAAAAGGGUCUCUUUCUUCUCUCUCUACAUCCCACCAGCCCUUAAGGGUAGUGGGGUGUAAAUUCCAAGUUCUUCUCCCCUCGUGGUUGGCUGGUAUGAGCACAAAAGUAUUUUGACAGAAGAUUCAAGGGGGAAACAAAAUUUCAGCUGUGGUCGAGCACGUUUUCAGCAUUUUGAUUUACUUUGCAAAGUGCCUCCUAUGAAUGUUCAUGGACCAUUAUCUCUACUCUUAUAAAUUUGUUUAAACAAAACACACCCAAAUUAAGAGCAAGUUUUGAUCCUAAUCUCUAUUUUGCUGUUGGCCUUUCCCCCUAGGAUGGAUUAAAUCAAAACUGCAGAUCUGAACACCCCCAAAACUUUGGAUCCAGCACCACACUUGGUUACGUCAUUUCUUGUGUCAAUAUUGUCUUACAUCUCUUUUCGAACCUGAUAAACUAGUAGGACACAACAGCGCAGAAGAAAAGGAUAUGUAGUGAUAGCAGCAGUGAAGUAAAAAACAGAUGACUGUCUAGGUGUUUGUGCUGGAAUGGGAUAUGUCCAAGUCUUGCACCAUAAAGUAUGGUUAAUAAACCAGUAGCACUACAUGCAUAUCCUAUGACCGUCUAAGUGUACAAACUGGGAUGGGCUGCCUGUGUUGUUUUCAGAUUGGUCAUUCUGUUCAAUAUGAGUGCUUAGCACCAUACACGGAACAGCUGCUGACUUCAAUGGGCCCUUUAAUCCUAUGCAUGAAUGUAUCCCUUUGUACUGUAAAUUCCAAGAUUUAUUUAAUCAGAUCUGCGACACAUGCAUCAUGAGACACGAAUGGAAUAAUUU
Long non-coding RNA from Caretta caretta (loggerhead turtle), 4449 nucleotides. RefSeq lists it as uncharacterized. The record is from RefSeq and is a predicted model, not a curated record. NCBI's taxonomy places the organism in Eukaryota, Metazoa, Chordata, Testudines, Cheloniidae.